Molecule: transfer RNA, 74 nt
Filed under: Alphaproteobacteria bacterium
Lineage: Bacteria; Pseudomonadati; Pseudomonadota; Alphaproteobacteria
Also listed under: 3 other names
Description: tRNA-Gly
Rfam family: tRNA
About the family: Transfer RNA (tRNA) molecules are approximately 80 nucleotides in length. Their secondary structure includes four short double-helical elements and three loops (D, anti-codon, and T loops).
Source: RNAcentral
GCGGGUAUGAUGUAAUGGUAGCCUGUCAGCUUCCCAAGCUGAACGCGGGGGUUCGAUUCCCCCUACCCGCUCCA